GGGUUGUGAGGUUAAGCGACUAAGCGUACACGGUGGAUGCCCUGGCAGUCAGAGGCGAUGAAGGACGUGCUAAUCUGCGAUAAGCGUCGGUAAGGUGAUAUGAACCGUUAUAACCGGCGAUUUCCGAAUGGGGAAACCCAGUGUGAUUCGUCACACUAUCAUUAACUGAAUCCAUAGGUUAAUGAGGCGAACCGGGGGAACUGAAACAUCUAAGUACCCCGAGGAAAAGAAAUCAACCGAGAUUCCCCCAGUAGCGGCGAGCGAACGGGGAGCAGCCCAGAGCCUGAAUCAGUGUGUGUGUUAGUGGAAGCGUCUGGAAAGGCGCGCGAUACAGGGUGACAGCCCCGUACACAAAAAUGCACAUGCUGUGAGCUCGAUGAGUAGGGCGGGACACGUGGUAUCCUGUCUGAAUAUGGGGGGACCAUCCUCCAAGGCUAAAUACUCCUGACUGACCGAUAGUGAACCAGUACCGUGAGGGAAAGGCGAAAAGAACCCCGGCGAGGGGAGUGAAAAAGAACCUGAAACCGUGUACGUACAAGCAGUGGGAGCACGCUUAGGCGUGUGACUGCGUACCUUUUGUAUAAUGGGUCAGCGACUUAUAUUCUGUAGCAAGGUUAACCGAAUAGGGGAGCCGAAGGGAAACCGAGUCUUAACUGGGCGUUAAGUUGCAGGGUAUAGACCCGAAACCCGGUGAUCUAGCCAUGGGCAGGUUGAAGGUUGGGUAACACUAACUGGAGGACCGAACCGACUAAUGUUGAAAAAUUAGCGGAUGACUUGUGGCUGGGGGUGAAAGGCCAAUCAAACCGGGAGAUAGCUGGUUCUCCCCGAAAGCUAUUUAGGUAGCGCCUCGUGAAUUCAUCUCCGGGGGUAGAGCACUGUUUCGGCAAGGGGGUCAUCCCGACUUACCAACCCGAUGCAAACUGCGAAUACCGGAGAAUGUUAUCACGGGAGACACACGGCGGGUGCUAACGUCCGUCGUGAAGAGGGAAACAACCCAGACCGCCAGCUAAGGUCCCAAAGUCAUGGUUAAGUGGGAAACGAUGUGGGAAGGCCCAGACAGCCAGGAUGUUGGCUUAGAAGCAGCCAUCAUUUAAAGAAAGCGUAAUAGCUCACUGGUCGAGUCGGCCUGCGCGGAAGAUGUAACGGGGCUAAACCAUGCACCGAAGCUGCGGCAGCGACGCUUAUGCGUUGUUGGGUAGGGGAGCGUUCUGUAAGCCUGUGAAGGUGUGCUGUGAGGCAUGCUGGAGGUAUCAGAAGUGCGAAUGCUGACAUAAGUAACGAUAAAGCGGGUGAAAAGCCCGCUCGCCGGAAGACCAAGGGUUCCUGUCCAACGUUAAUCGGGGCAGGGUGAGUCGACCCCUAAGGCGAGGCCGAAAGGCGUAGUCGAUGGGAAACAGGUUAAUAUUCCUGUACUUGGUGUUACUGCGAAGGGGGGACGGAGAAGGCUAUGUUGGCCGGGCGACGGUUGUCCCGGUUUAAGCGUGUAGGCUGGUUUUCCAGGCAAAUCCGGAAAAUCAAGGCUGAGGCGUGAUGACGAGGCACUACGGUGCUGAAGCAACAAAUGCCCUGCUUCCAGGAAAAGCCUCUAAGCAUCAGGUAACAUCAAAUCGUACCCCAAACCGACACAGGUGGUCAGGUAGAGAAUACCAAGGCGCUUGAGAGAACUCGGGUGAAGGAACUAGGCAAAAUGGUGCCGUAACUUCGGGAGAAGGCACGCUGAUAUGUAGGUGAAGUCCCUCGCGGAUGGAGCUGAAAUCAGUCGAAGAUACCAGCUGGCUGCAACUGUUUAUUAAAAACACAGCACUGUGCAAACACGAAAGUGGACGUAUACGGUGUGACGCCUGCCCGGUGCCGGAAGGUUAAUUGAUGGGGUCAGCGCAAGCGAAGCUCUUGAUCGAAGCCCCGGUAAACGGCGGCCGUAACUAUAACGGUCCUAAGGUAGCGAAAUUCCUUGUCGGGUAAGUUCCGACCUGCACGAAUGGCGUAAUGAUGGCCAGGCUGUCUCCACCCGAGACUCAGUGAAAUUGAACUCGCUGUGAAGAUGCAGUGUACCCGCGGCAAGACGGAAAGACCCCGUGAACCUUUACUAUAGCUUGACACUGAACAUUGAGCCUUGAUGUGUAGGAUAGGUGGGAGGCUUUGAAGUGUGGACGCCAGUCUGCAUGGAGCCGACCUUGAAAUACCACCCUUUAAUGUUUGAUGUUCUAACGUUGACCCGUAAUCCGGGUUGCGGACAGUGUCUGGUGGGUAGUUUGACUGGGGCGGUCUCCUCCUAAAGAGUAACGGAGGAGCACGAAGGUUGGCUAAUCCUGGUCGGACAUCAGGAGGUUAGUGCAAUGGCAUAAGCCAGCUUGACUGCGAGCGUGACGGCGCGAGCAGGUGCGAAAGCAGGUCAUAGUGAUCCGGUGGUUCUGAAUGGAAGGGCCAUCGCUCAACGGAUAAAAGGUACUCCGGGGAUAACAGGCUGAUACCGCCCAAGAGUUCAUAUCGACGGCGGUGUUUGGCACCUCGAUGUCGGCUCAUCACAUCCUGGGGCUGAAGUAGGUCCCAAGGGUAUGGCUGUUCGCCAUUUAAAGUGGUACGCGAGCUGGGUUUAGAACGUCGUGAGACAGUUCGGUCCCUAUCUGCCGUGGGCGCUGGAGAACUGAGGGGGGCUGCUCCUAGUACGAGAGGACCGGAGUGGACGCAUCACUGGUGUUCGGGUUGUCAUGCCAAUGGCACUGCCCGGUAGCUAAAUGCGGAAGAGAUAAGUGCUGAAAGCAUCUAAGCACGAAACUUGCCCCGAGAUGAGUUCUCCCUGACUCCUUGAGAGUCCUGAAGGAACGUUGAAGACGACGACGUUGAUAGGCCGGGUGUGUAAGCGCAGCGAUGCGUUGAGCUAACCGGUACUAAUGAACCGUGAGGCUUAACCUUACAACGCCGAAGCUGUU
Molecule: ribosomal RNA, 2930 nt
Filed under: Escherichia coli O80:H26
Lineage: Bacteria; Pseudomonadati; Pseudomonadota; Gammaproteobacteria; Enterobacterales; Enterobacteriaceae
Description: 23S ribosomal RNA
Rfam family: Bacterial large subunit ribosomal RNA
Source: RNAcentral